RNAcentral lists this ribosomal RNA (672 nucleotides) under uncultured bacterium. RNAcentral's name for it is "bacterial SSU rRNA". It matches the Rfam family "Bacterial small subunit ribosomal RNA", at positions 94 to 803 of the family's 1533-position model. The record is from RNAcentral.
AGCGGCGGACGGGUGAGUAACGCGUGGGAAUAUGCCCUUCUCUAAGGAAUAGCCUCUGGAAACGGAGAGUAAUACCUUAUACGCCCUUCGGGGGAAAGAUUUAUCGGAGAAGGAUUAGCCCGCGUUAGAUUAGGUAGUUGGUGGGGUAAUGGCCUACCAAGCCUACGAUCUAUAGCUGGUUUGAGAGGAUGAUCAGCCACACUGGGACUGAGACACGGCCCAGACUCCUACGGGAGGCAGCAGUAGGGAAUCUUAGACAAUGGGGGAAACCCUGAUCUAGCCAUGCCGCGUGUGUGAUGAAGGCCUUAGGGUCGUAAAGCACUUUCGCCAGAGAUGAUAAUGACAGUAUCUGGUAAAGAAACCCCGGCUAACUCCGUGCCAGCAGCCGCGGUAAUACGGAGGGGGUUAGCGUUGUUCGGAAUUACUGGGCGUAAAGCGCACGUAGGCGGAUUAGUAAGUUAGAGGUGAAAUCCCAGGGCUCAACCCUGGAACUGCCUUUAAUACUGCUAGUCUUGAGUUCGAGAGAGGUAAGUGGAAUUCCAAGUGUAGAGGUGAAAUUCGUAGAUAUUUGGAGGAACACCAGUGGCGAAGCGGCUUACUGGCUCGAUACUGACGCUGAGUGCGAAAGUGUGGGGAGCAAACAGGAUAAGAUACCCUGCUAGUCCACACCGA